UCGAGGGUCAAGGUUGCGGCACCUACUGUUCAGCUGGCGUUUCUCCAAGGUGUAAGAACAAGGACUCCACCACAUCAUGAUGCAAUCAAAGAAGACAACAUAACAUGUUGGGGAAGAGUUCUCUGAAGUCACGGUAACUUCUCAGCCAUUUUUAGUGACUUUCUGCUCCAAAUCUUCCCCUGCUGCCUU
This 189-nucleotide long non-coding RNA is filed under the name Chinchilla lanigera (long-tailed chinchilla). Its description in RNAcentral is "lncRNA (ENSCLAG00000028214.1)". Lineage: Eukaryota; Metazoa; Chordata; Mammalia; Rodentia; Chinchillidae. The record is from RNAcentral.